Molecule: ribosomal RNA, 497 nt
Filed under: uncultured bacterium
Lineage: Bacteria
Description: partial 16S ribosomal RNA
Rfam family: Bacterial small subunit ribosomal RNA
Source: RNAcentral
GAUGAACGCUGGCGGCGUGCCUAAUACAUGCAAUUCGAGCGAACGGACGAGAAGCUUGCUUCUCUGAUGUUAGCGGCGGACGGGUGAGUAACACGUUGCUAACCUACCUAUAAGACUGGGAUAACUUCGGGAAACCGGAGCUAAUACCGGAUAAUAUUUUGAACCGCAUGGUUCAAAAGUUAAAGACGGUCUUGCUGUCACUUAUCGAUGGAUCCGCGCUGCAUUAGCUAGUUGGUAAGGUAACGGCUUACCAAGGCAACGAUGCAUAGCCGACCUGAGAGGGUGAUCGGCCACACUGGAACUGAGACACGGUCCAGACUCCUACGGGAGGCAGCAGUAGGGAAUCUUCCGCAAGGGGCGAAAGCCUGACGGAGCAACGCAGCGUGAGUGAUGAAGGUCUUCGGAUCGUAAAACUCUGUUAUUAGGGAAGAACAUAUGUGUAAGUAACUGUGCACAUCUUGACGGUACCUAAUCAGAAAGCCACGGCUAACUACGUG